RNAcentral lists this ribosomal RNA (341 nucleotides) under uncultured bacterium. RNAcentral describes it as "partial 16S ribosomal RNA". It matches the Rfam family "Bacterial small subunit ribosomal RNA", at positions 338 to 676 of the family's 1533-position model. The record is from RNAcentral.
CCUACGGGGUGCUGCAGUGAGGAAUAUUGGUCAAUGGGCUUACGCCUGAACCAGCCAAGUCGCGUGAGGGAAGACUGCCCUAUGGGUUGUAAACCUCUUUUGUCAGGGAGCAACGCCGGCUACGUGUAGCAGGACUGAGAGUACCUGAAGAAAAAGCAUCGGCUAACUCCGUGCCAGCAGCCGCGGGAAUACGGAGGAUGCGAUCGUUAUACGGAUUUAUUGGGGUUAAAGGGUGCGUAGGCGGAAUGCCAAGUCAUCGGUAAAAUCGCGGGGCACAAACUAGCUCCGCCGUUGAAACUGGCGUUCUUGAGUGGGCGAGAAGUAUGCGGAAUGCGUGGUGU